GACGAACGCUGGCGGCGUGCCUAAUACAUGCAAGUUGAGCGCUGAAGGUUGGUACUUGUACCUACUGGAUGAGCAGCGAACGGGUGAGUAACGCGUGGGGAAUCUGCCUUUGAGCGGGGGACAACAUUUGGAAACGAAUGCUAAUACCGCAUAAAAACUUUAAACACAAGUUUUAAGUUUGAAAGAUGCAAUUGCAUCACCCAAUGAUGAUCCCGCGUUGUAUUAGCUAGUUGGUGAGGUAAAGGCUCACCAAGGCGAUGAUACAUAGCCGACCUGAGAGGGUGAUCGGCCCCAUUGGGACUGAGACACGGCCCAAACUCCUACGGGAAGCAGCAGUAGGGAAUCUUCGGCAAUGGACGAAAGUCUGGCCGAGCAACGCCGCGUGAGUGAAGAAGGUUUUCGGAUCGUAAAACUCUGUUGGUAGGGAAGAACGAUGGUGAGAGUGGAAAGCUCAUCAAGUGACGGUAACUACCCAGAAAGGGACGGCUAACUACGUG
Molecule: ribosomal RNA, 497 nt
Filed under: uncultured bacterium
Lineage: Bacteria
Description: partial 16S ribosomal RNA
Rfam family: Bacterial small subunit ribosomal RNA
Source: RNAcentral